RNAcentral lists this ribosomal RNA (253 nucleotides) under uncultured bacterium. Its description in RNAcentral is "partial 16S ribosomal RNA". It matches the Rfam family "Bacterial small subunit ribosomal RNA", at positions 524 to 776 of the family's 1533-position model. The record is from RNAcentral.
UACGUAGGGGGCAAGCGUUAUCCGGAUUUACUGGGUGUAAAGGGAGCGUAGACGGUUGUAUAAGUCUGGAGUGAAAGCCCGGGGCCCAACCCCGGGACUGCUUUGGAAACUGUGUAACUUGAGUACAGUAGAGGUGGGCGGAAUUCGUGGUGUAGCGGUGAAAUGCUUAGAUAUCACGCAGAACUCCGAUUGCGAAGGCAGCAUACCGGCGCCCAACUGACGCUGAGGCACGAAAGCGUGGGGAUCGAACAGG